This 274-nucleotide unclassified non-coding RNA is filed under the name uncultured fungus. Its description in RNAcentral is "partial contains 5.8S ribosomal RNA, internal transcribed spacer 2, and large subunit ribosomal RNA". The stretch from base 1 to 52 matches the Rfam family "5.8S ribosomal RNA", at positions 103 to 154 of the family's 154-position model. Lineage: Eukaryota; Fungi. The record is from RNAcentral.
AACGCACAUUGCGCCCGCCAGUAUUCUGGCGGGCAUGCCUGUCUGAGCGUCGUUUCGACCCUCGCGCCCGGCUUCUGUCGGGGGCGGUGUUGGGGAUCGGCCACACCCACUCCGGUGGGAGGCCGGCCCCUAAAUCCAGUGGCGACCACGCUGUAGCCUCCCCUGCGUAGUACUAAAACCACCUCGCAGGCGGAGAGCGGUGCGGCCCGCCGUAAAACCCCCCAACUUUUACAAGGUCGACCUCAGAUCAGGUAGGAAUACCCGCUGAACUUAA